Molecule: small nuclear RNA, 148 nt
Organism: Ruditapes philippinarum (Manila clam)
Lineage: Eukaryota; Metazoa; Mollusca; Bivalvia; Venerida; Veneridae
Product: U4 spliceosomal RNA
Exons: 1
Source: RefSeq, a predicted model, not a curated record
AUUUGUGUGGUGGCGGUGGUGGUACCAUAGCAAAUGAGGAUUAACCGAGGCGUGGUUAUUGCUAGUUGAAAACUUUACCCAAUACCCACGUCGACGCCCUAACACAUGGGUGGUGUGCGCAAUUAAUAUUAUGAACUUUCCAACGGAA